Molecule: ribosomal RNA, 465 nt
Filed under: uncultured bacterium
Lineage: Bacteria
Description: partial 16S ribosomal RNA
Rfam family: Bacterial small subunit ribosomal RNA
Source: RNAcentral
CCUACGGGAGGCAGCAGUAGGGAAUUUUCGUCAAUGGGCGCAAGCCUGAACGAGCGAUGCCGCGUGAGUGAAGAAGGCUUUCGGGUCGUAAAGCUCUGUUGCGGGGGAAAAAAGGCAGCAUCUGGAUAUGGGUGCUGACUGAUGGUGCCCCGCCAGAAAGUCACGGCUAACUACGUGCCAGCAGCCGCGGUAAUACGUAGGUGGCGAGCGUUGUCCGGAAUGAUUGGGCGUAAAGGGUGUGCAGGCGGGCCUGCAAGUCUGGAGUGAAACGCAUUAGCUCAACUGAUGCAUGGCAUUGGAAACUGGGGGACUUGAGAGCAGGAGAGGGCGGUGGAACUCCAUGUGUAGCGGUAAAAUGCGUAGAUAUAAGGAAGAACACCAGUGGCGAAGGCGGCCGCCUGGCCUGUUGCUGACGCUGAGGCACGAAAGCGUGGGGAGCAAAUAGGAUUAGAUACCCUGGUAGUC